Molecule: non-coding RNA, 267 nt
Filed under: Anaerobium acetethylicum
Lineage: Bacteria; Bacillati; Bacillota; Clostridia; Lachnospirales; Lachnospiraceae
Description: T-box sequence
Rfam family: T-box leader
About the family: Uncharged tRNA acts as the effector for transcription antitermination of genes in the T-box leader family. T-boxes are found upstream of many aminoacyl-tRNA synthetase genes and some amino acid biosynthetic genes usually in Gram-positive bacteria.
Source: RNAcentral
GUAAAUACUGUGAAGAGGAGUAUUAAGAGUCAUAAGGUCCCAGAGAACUGCCGGAAGGUGUGAGGCAGUACCUGAAAACUCCCAACUCGCCUUGGAGUUCCUUUUUUGAAACUGAAGAUUUCAUACAUGCCGGGAUAACAUCAGGCUGUAAAGAUAUCGUUCCUGAGUAGAAAAAGGCGGCUGAUUCCCGUUAUAGAAAAAUGAGUGCAUCCUGCAGUGCAGGAUGAAUUAGAGUGGUACCGCGAGUUCAGCCUUUUCGUCUCUAUG